Molecule: ribosomal RNA, 473 nt
Filed under: uncultured archaeon
Lineage: Archaea
Description: bacterial SSU rRNA
Rfam family: Archaeal small subunit ribosomal RNA
Source: RNAcentral
GUGUGAUAAGGGGAUUCCAAGUGUGCAUAUACCAUAUGUACUUUUCUUUAGUUUAAAAUGCUAGAGGAAUAAGGGGUGGGUAAGACUAGUGCCAGCCGCCGCGGUAAAACUAGCAUCCCAAGUGGCAGUCACCAUUACUGGGCUUAAAGCGUCCGUAGCUUGUUUUGAAAGUCUCUGCUGAAAUCCUGCAGCUUAACUGUAGGGCUUGGCGGAGAAACUUCAAGACUUGAGGAUGGGAGAGGUCGGAGGUACUUCUGGGGUAGGGGUGAAAUCCUAUAAUCCUAGAAGGACCAACAGUGGCGAAGGCGUCCGACAUGAACAUGCCUGACAGUGAGGGACGAGAGCCAGGGUCGCGAAACGGAUUAGAUACCCGUGUAGUCCUGGCCGUAAACGAUGUUGACUAGGUGGGGCGUGAUCUUCGAGAUCAUGCUAUGCCGAAGGGAAACCGUUAAGUCAACCGCCUGGGGAGUACG